UGUCUUUAUGGUGAAACAUUAAUCACAUUACUUUUUCAAGGUAAAAUUGAAUUACUAUUCUAAAGAUAA
This 69-nucleotide transfer RNA is filed under the name Doriprismatica atromarginata. RNAcentral's name for it is "tRNA-Glu". Lineage: Eukaryota; Metazoa; Mollusca; Gastropoda; Nudibranchia; Chromodorididae. The record is from RNAcentral.